This 1386-nucleotide ribosomal RNA is filed under the name Gopherus agassizii (Agassiz's desert tortoise). RNAcentral describes it as "bacterial SSU rRNA". The stretch from base 2 to 839 matches the Rfam family "Eukaryotic small subunit ribosomal RNA", at positions 4 to 1116 of the family's 1831-position model. The record is from RNAcentral. Lineage: Eukaryota; Metazoa; Chordata; Testudines; Testudinidae.
GCUGGUUGAUCCUGCCAGUAGCAUAUGCUUGUCUCAAAGAUUAAGCUAUGCAUGUCUAAGUACACACAGCCGGUACAGUGAAACUGCGAAUGGCUCAUUAAAUCAGUUAUGGUUCCUUUGGUCGCUCCAACCCUUACUUGGAUAACUGUGGUAAUUCUAGAGCUAAUGCAUGCCAACGAGCGCUGACCUCCGGGGCAUGCAUGCAUUCAUCAGACCAAAACUAACCCGGGCUCACCUGGCCACUUUGGUGACUCUAGAUAACCUCAGGCUGAUCGCACGCCCCUGGGGCGGCAACGAUACAUUUGAAUGUCUGCCCUAUCAACUUUCGAUGGUACUUCCUGUGCCUACCAUGGUGACCAUGGGUAAUGGAGAAUCAGGGUUCGAUUCCAGAGAAGGAGCCUGAGAAAUGGCUACCACAUCCAAGGAAGGCAGCAGGUGUGCAAAUUACCCACUCCUGACCCAGGGAGGUAGUGAGGCAAAAUAACAAUACAGGACUCUUUCUAGGCCCUGUAAUUGGAAUGAGUACACUUUAAAUCCUUUAAUGAGGAUCGAUUGGAGGGCAAGUCUGGUGCCAACAGCUACGGUAAUUCCAGUUCCAAUAACAUAUAUUAAAGUUACUGCAGUUAAAAAGCUUGUAGCUGGAUCUUGGGAUCAAGCCGGCAGUUUGCCGUGAGGCAAGCUACCGCCUGUCCCAGCCCCUACCUCUCCGUGCUCCACUGAUGCUCUUAACUGAGUAUCCUGGGGGUCUGAAGCGUUUACUUUGAACAAAUUAGUGUUCAAAGCAGGCUGGUCGAAGAAGAUCUGAAGAAGAGCUUUGUGUAAGCUCAAAAACUUGUCUUUCACCAACAGCACAAGUUGGUCCGACAAAAGAUAUUACCUCACCCACCUUGUCUUACUAAUUCUGUUUAACAUCUGACCAUUAUGCAAUAUUGGAUGCAGUAUUGUAGCCAUGUCAGUUCCAGGAUAUUAGGGAAAGUAAGCCUGAAAGUUUCUCUCACCAACAGAAGUUUGGUGAAUAAAUGAUAUUACCUCAUCCACUUUGUCCAUCAUGCAAUAUACAACCUGGGCAACUAUAUAUAAGCCUUAAUGAAUAGUUUACAAGAGGUGGCUAAAAAUAAACUGAAGGUAAAGAGAGGAAGAACCCAGAUGGUAUUUUGCUUCCACAUAAUUGCAAGAUAUUCAUUUUAUGCAAUUCUUAUUAUGUACUAAUCAAACUGUUAUGGAAACCAAUUACGUACCAUCCAUGAAUGUCAUAUCCCCUUAAUAAAAAGGAAUAUUAAAACAUAAGGCAUGCAAAAUAUAAAUCGAUACAGGGACUGAUUAAUCCCCCAGGACAAAAGCUGUGGCUGCACAACAUAACACCCGCAGAAGCAGCUGUGCUCAUGA